CCUAGUGUUCAGAUACCUGGGGAAAUGGCUCUGGUUCCUUUGGAGAAAAAUUGAGAGAAUCAUGACUCUGCAGAUCAUCUUUCCCAUGCCUUGGUCACCUCUCCAGUCAGUGGAGUCUCUGUUCAAACACUGGCAGAGGGUUUCUUUUUCCACUUUCACAUCUACAGCAUGUACUUUGGAAGCAGGCUCCUGCCAAGCCCAGGUUAAACAGUCGGCUCUCUAUUUUCGCUGUGGGCGAUGUUCACGCCUCUUCUAAGAGGCUGGCAGGGUGAUAAGCGCUCUCCCUCUCUUGGUGCCACACAGACCCUGAAGUGGUUUCUGGCUUCAUUUCUCAGACAAAUGUAGCUACGUCUGCAGAGCAUAAAUCUGUAAAAACACAAAAUUAAUACAUCAUAUCCAUCUUCAAAGGAUCCACACUUGGGAAUUGGGAAACUACAGUGAAUAUUUUUCCGGCAACAAAUCAGAGACUGAGGCAGUCACCGAAGCCCCAGCACGCACCUGUGUGCGGCGGCUGUAUCUGGGGAGUAACCCCGCGUGAUCUACAGCGCUGGUGCUCUCAAAGAGGAGCCUCAGAAGGGAGGAGAAGAAUGUCUGAGGGUUUGUCUAGGGAAAAAUAAAAGAAAUAAUUGUUCUAAAAAAAGGAGAGAUCGGUAUUUCACUGGCAGCCCAAGUUGCACAGGAACACUUUAAACUUCUGGGGCUGGAAUCCUUCAUCUGAAAAUCAC
RNAcentral lists this long non-coding RNA (725 nucleotides) under Fukomys damarensis (Damara mole-rat). RNAcentral describes it as "lncRNA (ENSFDAG00000029534.1)". Lineage: Eukaryota; Metazoa; Chordata; Mammalia; Rodentia; Bathyergidae. The record is from RNAcentral.